Molecule: small nuclear RNA, 115 nt
Gene: U1
Rfam family: U1 spliceosomal RNA
About the family: U1 is a small nuclear RNA (snRNA) component of the spliceosome (involved in pre-mRNA splicing). Its 5' end forms complementary base pairs with the 5' splice junction, thus defining the 5' donor site of an intron. There are significant differences in sequence and secondary structure between metazoan and yeast U1 snRNAs, the latter being much longer (568 nucleotides as compared to 164 nucleotides in human).
Source: Ensembl
UUACUUACCUGGCAGGAGAGAUACCGUGAUCAAGAAGGCGGUUCACCCAGGGGGAGGCUCAGCCAUUCAUGCAGUGGUGGCCCCAUAAUCCGCCACGGUGCCACUGAGGUGCCAC